UACACUCCUACGGGAGGCAGCAGUGGGGAAUUUUGGACAAUGGGCGAAAGCCUGAUCCAGCCAUGCCGCGUGCAGGAUGAAGGCCUUCGGGUUGUAAACUGCUUUUGUACGGAACGAAACGGCCUUUUCUAAUAAAGAGGGCUAAUGACGGUACCGUAAGAAUAAGCACCGGCUAACUACGUGCCAGCAGCCGCGGUAAUACGUAGGGUGCAAGCGUUAAUCGGAAUUACUGGGCGUAAAGCGUGCGCAGGCGGUUAUGUAAGACAGUUGUGAAAUCCCCGGGCUCAACCUGGGAACUGCAUCUGUGACUGCAUAGCUAGAGUACGGUAGAGGGGGAUGGAAUUCCGCGUGUAGCAGUGAAAUGCGUAGAUAUGCGGAGGAACACCGAUGGCGAAGGCAAUCCCCUGGACCUGUACUGACGCUCAUGCACGAAAGCGUGGGGAGCAAACAGGAUUAGAAACCCUGGUAGUCCCA
This 474-nucleotide ribosomal RNA is filed under the name uncultured organism. RNAcentral describes it as "partial 16S ribosomal RNA". It matches the Rfam family "Bacterial small subunit ribosomal RNA", at positions 332 to 797 of the family's 1533-position model. The record is from RNAcentral.